GUUUCACAACAUAAACGUUUUGAUUGCACCCGACCAGAUUAACAGCUAUCGGAGGAAAGCCAAGUACCACCGGAACAAAACAACAUUCAACCCGAUCAGCUUCUAGCUAACUCCAGCAUCACUGAUAAGCAACUCCAUACAUCUGACUCAGAGGGGCAUUGACCAACAUGGAGCUGUCACAAUGCAACAAGAUCAGACAACACAUGCCACUGCUUUUGUGAUAAAUGCCAGAGCCAAGCAUUGUCUCUCACAG
Long non-coding RNA from Salvelinus namaycush (lake trout), 253 nucleotides. RefSeq lists it as uncharacterized. The record is from RefSeq and is a predicted model, not a curated record. The transcript is spliced from 3 exons. NCBI's taxonomy places the organism in Eukaryota, Metazoa, Chordata, Actinopteri, Salmoniformes, Salmonidae.